GGGGGCGACCUGGUUUCGACGUGGGUAGCAAAACCUUGAGUGCAUGCCGUGGACAGUACACCACGUAAAACCUACUGAACACAAGUAUUCGCAAAUGACGAUAACUACUCAAUGGCUUUAGCUGCUUAAACACAGCACCAUUCUUCUGACUACAUGUACUUAUGCGUGUAGCGUCUUUCGGGACAUUCAGAAGUCACAUUACAUAAGAUCGCGUCAGAACUUGGUUCGGAGUUCAAAACGUUAAAUUCAAUCGAAAUCGCUAAUGAUUUUCCUGGCUCGGCGGGUAGUCAUUAGUUAAAUAAAAAGCACGAGAUAAGCAUGUAGACCUUUAGGCGGAAUGCUUGCGGACGCGGGUUCAAUCCCCGCCGCCUCCACCA
Molecule: transfer-messenger RNA, 377 nt
Filed under: Methyloprofundus sedimenti
Lineage: Bacteria; Pseudomonadati; Pseudomonadota; Gammaproteobacteria; Methylococcales; Methylococcaceae
Description: Standard tmRNA
Rfam family: transfer-messenger RNA
About the family: Bacterial tmRNA, also known as 10Sa RNA or SsrA, is named for its dual tRNA and mRNA-like properties.
Source: Rfam by way of RNAcentral